GAUGAACGCUGGCGGUAUGCUUAACACAUGCAAGUUGAACGGUCUCUUCGGAGAUAGUGGCGGACGGGUGAGUAACGCGUAAGAACAUGCCUUUAGAUUGGGGACACCAGUUGGAAACGACUGCUAAUACCGAAUGUGCCUUAGGGUGAAAGAUUUAUUGUCUAGAGAUUGGCUCGCGUCAGAUUAGCUAGUUGGUGUGGUAACGGCACACCAAGGCGACGAUCUGUACUUGGUCUGAGAGGAUGACCAGGCACACUGGAACUGAGACACGGUCCAGACUCCUACGGGAGGCAGCAGUGGGGAAUUUUCCGCAAUGGGCGAAAGCUGACGGAACAAUACCGCGUGAGGGAGGAAGGCUUUUGGGUUGUAAACCUCUUUUAUCAGGGAAGAAUCGAUGACGGUACCUGAUGAAUCAGCAUCGGCUAACUCCGUGCCAGCAGCCGCGGUAAUACGGAGGAUGCAAGCGUUAUCCGGAAUUAUUGGGCGUAAAGCGUCCGUAGGUGGUUUAUCAAGUCUGCUGUCAAAGCGUGCGGCUUAACCGCAUAAGGGCAGUGGAAACUGAUGAACUAGAGUGCGAUAGGGGUAACAGGAAUUCCCAGUGUAGCGGUGAAAUGCGUAGAUAUUGGGAAGAACACCAGCGGCGAAGGCGUGUUACUGGGUCUGCACUGACACUGAGGGACGAAAGCUAGGGGAGCGAAAGGGAUUAGAUACCCCUGUAGUCCUAGCCGUAAACGAUGACAACUAGGCGUGGUUCGUAUCGACCCGAGCCGUGCCGUAGCCAACGCGUUAAGUUGUCCGCCUGGGGAGUACGCACGCAAGGUGAAACUCAAAGGAAUUGACGGGGGCCCGCACAAGCGGUGGAGUAUGUGGUUUAAUUCGAUGCAACGCGAAGAACCUUACCAAGGCUUGACAUCCUCGGAACCCUGAUGAAAGGUAGGGGUGCCUUCGGGAGCCGAGAGACAGGUGGUGCAUGGCUGUCGUCAGCUCGUGUCGUGAGAUGUUGGGUUAAGUCCCGCAACGAGCGCAACCCACGUUUUUAGUUGCCAGCAUUCAGUUGGGCACUCUAGAGAGACUGCCGGUGACAGACCGGAGGAAGGUGUGGAUGACGUCAAGUCAGCAUGCCCCAUACGCCUUGGGCUACACACGUACUACAAUGCGUCGGACAAAGAGCAGCCAGCCAGCGAAAGUGAGCCAAUCUCAUAAACCGGGGCUCAGUUCAGAUUGCAGGCUGCAACUCGCCUGCAUGAAGGCGGAAUCGCUAGUAAUCGCAGGUCAGCAUACUGCGGUGAAUACGUUCCCGGGCCUUGUACACACCGCCCGUCACACCAUGGGAGUUGGUCACGCCCGAAGUCGUUACUCUAACUGCUUGCAGAGGAGGACGCCGAAGGUGGGGCUGAUGACUGGGG
RNAcentral lists this ribosomal RNA (1406 nucleotides) under Leptolyngbya sp. Ni6-C2. RNAcentral describes it as "bacterial SSU rRNA". It matches the Rfam family "Bacterial small subunit ribosomal RNA". The record is from RNAcentral. Lineage: Bacteria; Bacillati; Cyanobacteriota; Cyanophyceae; Leptolyngbyales; Leptolyngbyaceae.